CGGCGGACGGGCGAGUAAUGCCUAGGAAUCUGCCUGGUAGUGGGGGACAACGUUUCGAAAGGAACGCUAAUACCGCAUACGUCCUACGGGAGAAAGCAGGGGACCUUCGGGCCUUGCGCUAUCAGAUGAGCCUAGGUCGGAUUAGCUAGUUGGUGAGGUAAUGGCUCACCAAGGCGACGAUCCGUAACUGGUCUGAGAGGAUGAUCAGUCACACUGGAACUGAGACACGGUCCAGACUCCUACGGGAGGCAGCAGGC
RNAcentral lists this ribosomal RNA (257 nucleotides) under uncultured Pseudomonas sp. Its description in RNAcentral is "partial 16S ribosomal RNA". It matches the Rfam family "Bacterial small subunit ribosomal RNA", at positions 96 to 354 of the family's 1533-position model. The record is from RNAcentral. Lineage: Bacteria; Pseudomonadati; Pseudomonadota; Gammaproteobacteria; Pseudomonadales; Pseudomonadaceae.